GACGAACGCUGGCGGCGUGCUUAACACAUGCAAGUCGAACGGAAAGGCCCUGCUUUUGUGGGGUGCUCGAGUGGCGAACGGGUGAGUAACACGUGAGUAACCUGCCCUUGACUUUGGGAUAACUUCAGGAAACUGGGGCUAAUACCGGAUAGGAGCUCCUGCUGCAUGGUGGGGGUUGGAAAGUUUCGGCGGUUGGGGAUGGACUCGCGGCUUAUCAGCUUGUUGGUGGGGUAGUGGCUUACCAAGGCUUUGACGGGUAGCCGGCCUGAGAGGGUGACCGGCCACAUUGGGACUGAGAUACGGCCCAGACUCCUACGGGAGGCAGCAGUGGGGAAUAUUGCACAAUGGGCGGAAGCCUGAUGCAGCAACGCCGCGUGCGGGAUGACGGCCUUCGGGUUGUAAACCGCUUUCGCCUGUGACGAAGCGUGAGUGACGGUAAUGGGUAAAGAAGCACCGGCUAACUACGUGCCAGCAGCCGCGGUGAUACGUAGGGUGCGAGCGUUGUCCGGAUUUAUUGGGCGUAAAGGGCUCGUAGGUGGUUGAUCGCGUCGGAGGUGUAAUCUUGGGGCUUAACCCUGAGCGUGCUUUCGAUACGGGUUGACUUGAGGAAGGUAGGGGAGAAUGGAAUUCCUGGUGGAGCGGUGGAAUGCGCAGAUAUCAGGAGGAACACCAGUGGCGAAGGCGGUUCUCUGGGCCUUUCCUGACGCUGAGGAGCGAAAGCGUGGGGAGCGAACAGGCUUAGAUACCCUGGUAGUCCACGCUGUAAACGGUGGGUACUAGGUGUGGGGUCCAUUCCACGGGUUCCGUGCCGUAGCUAACGCUUUAAGUACCCCGCCUGGGGAGUACGGCCGCAAGGCUAAAACUCAAAGGAAUUGACGGGGCCCCGCACAAGCGGCGGAGCAUGCGGAUUAAUUCGAUGCAACGCGUAGAACCUUACCUGGGUUUGACAUGGAUCGGGAGCGCUCGGAGAUGGGUGUGCCUCUUUUGGGGUCGGUUCACAGGUGGUGCAUGGCUGUCGUCAGCUCGUGUCGUGAGAUGUUGGGUUAAGUCCCGCAACGAGCGCAACCCUUGUUCACUGUUGCCAGCACGUUAUGGUGGGGACUCAGUGGAGACCGCCGGGGUCAACUCGGAGGAAGGUGGGGAUGACGUCAAGUCAUCAUGCCCCUUAUGUCCAGGGCUUCACGCAUGCUACAAUGGCUGGUACAGAGAGUGGCGAGCCUGUGAGGGUGAGCGAAUCUCGGAAAGCCGGUCUCAGUUCGGAUUGGGGUCUGCAACUCGACCUCAUGAAGUCGGAGUCGCUAGUAAUCGCAGAUCAGCAACGCUGCGGUGAAUACGUUCCCGGG
Molecule: ribosomal RNA, 1343 nt
Filed under: uncultured bacterium
Lineage: Bacteria
Description: 16S ribosomal RNA
Rfam family: Bacterial small subunit ribosomal RNA
Source: RNAcentral